UACGGAGGAUGCGAGCGUUAUCCGGAUUUAUUGGGUUUAAAGGGUGCGUAGGCGGCCUUUUAAGUCAGCGGUGAAAGUCUGUGGCUCAACCCCAUCCAGCCGUUGAAACUGGGGAUCUAGAGUGUGCGAGAGGUAUGCGGAAUGCGUGGUGUAGCGGUGAAAUGCAUAGAUAUCGCGCAGAACUCCGAUUGCGAAGGCAGCACGCCGGCUCCACACUGACGCUGAGGCACGAAAGCGUGGGUAUCGAACAGG
RNAcentral lists this ribosomal RNA (252 nucleotides) under uncultured Bacteroidales bacterium. RNAcentral describes it as "partial 16S ribosomal RNA". It matches the Rfam family "Bacterial small subunit ribosomal RNA", at positions 524 to 776 of the family's 1533-position model. Lineage: Bacteria; Pseudomonadati; Bacteroidota; Bacteroidia; Bacteroidales. The record is from RNAcentral.